RNAcentral lists this ribosomal RNA (253 nucleotides) under uncultured bacterium. RNAcentral describes it as "partial 16S ribosomal RNA". It matches the Rfam family "Bacterial small subunit ribosomal RNA", at positions 524 to 776 of the family's 1533-position model. The record is from RNAcentral.
UACAGAGGGUGCGAGCGUUAAUCGGAAUUACUGGGCGUAAAGGGUGCGUAGGUGGUUGAAUAAGUUAGGUGUGAAAUUCCUGGGCUUAACCUGGGGACUGCGCCUAAUACUGUUUAGCUAGAGUAUUGUAGAGGAAAGUGGAGUUUCCGGUGUAGCGGUGAAAUGCGUAGAUAUCGGAAGGAACAUCAGUGGCGAAGGCGACUUUCUGGACAAAUACUGACACUGAGGCACGAAAGCAUGGGGAGCAAACAGG